GUCCUCCGCCUCCGUGUACUCGUAGGCCGGGCGGCUCCGCGCCAUGGCCGGGCUGCGCCGCCGCCGCCCGCCGCCGCCGCGGCCGCCUGGCAGCCGCUGCCAUGAGGUGAGGGUUGGCCUAACGCUAUCCUACCUCGACAAGACUUUUAGGUGACUCAGCAGGCUGUGAUGAGUGCGAGUACUCUGGGCGGUCCAGCCCAAGACCCAAAUCUGGCAUUUGCAGAGUACAGACAGACCCAGCCUCCAAAUCGUUCAUCAUCAUUUAAAGAUAAAAGGUCCUUCCCCAUCCUGUGCCUGAAGUGCAGGCUUACCUUUCGCUAGCAGCGAGACGCUCAUCUGCUGAUUCCUUAACCGAAGACAGCUCGUAUGUUGCACGGUGAUGGCACCUCCGCCUUGGUUAUGUGAGAGAAGCAUAUCCCUACCUGUAGACUUGGUGGGACCUAGCAUACCUCUGUAAGCCUCCCUAGCUAAAAGGCUGGGCAUCACUGACCUGCCCAGCAGAUAAUACAUAUUGACAAGACUAUCUUGUCUAGCACAAAUGAGUGACGAGACCGGUUCUCCGCGCCGAUCUUCGUGUGAGAACUAUGUGUGAACAAACACUGACAACAGGCAGCGGGGCUGCAGUGAGCUCCGUGAGGCCAUGUGCCCUUUUUUUUGUGAUAGCGAUGGCCCUCGUAACACCUCUCAUAGAGCUGUCUUGCACAGUCUUCCAUAACAGCGCCAAUAACAAACUAAAACAUGCCUUUUUGAAACCUGUAUGUGGCGCCCAACGGGAAGCAACCUGGACUUCGAAGGGAGGAAGAUCACACAUAGCUGACAGAAACACAUCCAGGGUGGGGAAACCCCCCCCCCCCCCAACCCUCUAUCCAAAAAAGAGCUGUAGAGAGCACUGAGGAGUAUCUACAGAAUUUCAGGUAGGUUUGCCAGAAAGGACAACUUUGCUAACUUCUAUCUUUGUCCAAACUAAAAGCCACAAAUGUCUGAACGUUUUUAUAAAAAUGUUAACUAUUGCUUGUCUUUGCAUGACUUUUAUGAGUUACUAUUCAAGUCACUGCAUAUAAAGUCUUUCUGCAAUAUUAAAUUAGCCUGAAUUUCCUAAAGUUUUCAUGGAAUCUUAUAUCCCCCCCAGAAUAACUUAAAAGUUUAGUGACCCAAAGCCUACUGGGAAUUCAGUACUUACAGUCGUGGAUGGACUUUCAUUUUACUUCGUCAACAAACCAGAAUUUAUGCAUUUCAUCCCGUAUCUCCAAGGAAAAAAGGGGAACACUCACACUCAGAAACCAAGGUACCACCCUUCCCUUAUCUGCAGCUGCAAGAGCACCUCUGGGACGCCUUCCGUUUGCUCUUGAUCAGGAUCAAUGUACAGGUGGUUGAAGGGUGGUGCAGAUAAUCACUACAACUGGCUAGUUUGCUGCUCUGCUAAAGGAACAGGUCCUGUAGUACAGGGUGCGCGCGUGUCUGUGUAUAUGCAUAUAUAUAUGUAUAUACCAGAAGUAGUUCAAAAAAGCAAUUUUUGCACAAAACUCUUGGCAUUUUCAGCAGCAAAAUGCUGACAUACACCUAGGUCUAAUAUUGGUAUAUUAAUUCUGACAGGGGAGUAUGUGAAAUGUGAAUGAAAAUCCAAAGCCUAGGAAAGAGAUCCAAGCUUAGUUAGCACUGCUAAUUCUGAAGUUGUCUGAAUUAGUAACAUUCAAAACAACUGCUAAAUGUGUUCUACCUUUACCUUCAAAAAAUAAGCUUUAACUGCAAUAAUAACCUGGUUUUAAAAGGAAAAAUUGAAUUUACUGAAGUAAUUCAAACUGCAAUUUUAAAAUAAGUAACCUAGCUGCAUUUCCUCUAGCCUUUUAAAUAUACGUGAAGCUUUCAGAUUUGCAGACAUGAGACUAUAGAUGCUUAUUAAAGGUAGGGAAAAAACAAAACAGCUACACCAUUUUAAUUCUUGUACUACAUGAAAAAUGAAGACAUCAGCUGGCAAUUCAGAUUAACUGCUUGCCCCAGUCUGCAUUCUUUACCAAAAACUGAAUUCUACAAGCACAGUUUUUAAGGAAGAGGAAAUACUGAGAAACAUGAUAAAUGGAUAUGGCAUUUGAAAACAAGAGCACAUUCAAAAUUUCAUUUUAAAAUAACUGAUUGUCAUACUUAGUAUUUUAAAUCAAAAGCACUGUCUAGCUACAUUAUACUUAGCAUCACAACUGUGCAUUUAAAAACUCUUUUGAGUGUGGCAGAGAGUAAUCACGUUUUCUUUCUGUCAACAUCCAGCCAUGAAAAUACUUUCAGUUAGGAGUUAAAAACUAAAUUUAAAUGUUUUUUCACUUUAGGUGAUAAAUAUCUUAAAAGUAGUUAUUUAGGAAUUGAGUACCCUUCUUCAAUAGUCAUUGACACCUACAUGUCAAUGCAAUAUCCAGCUGACGGCUGCGUAGACCCCUGUGCCUCUCAGUACUGCUUAGCUCACUCCAAAGACAGUUUCAAGUUGCUCUUUACAUCUAUCAGUCUAUCAGCACACCGCAAGCAGCCUCAAAAACAAUUUUAUAACUACAAUAAAAAUAUUUUAUAUGUUAUUUGGGGUAGAUUUUUUUUUCCUGCAAUCGUAACUGUAAGUACAAAAAAUAUCGGUUGAAAGAGAGAGGAGGGACUUCAAACAUGACAUAUAGCAAAAUGAUACAGUUACAUAUCUUUGUACCAGACAGAAGUCAAGUGUGAAUCAGAGGUGCAGGUCAGUCACAAAUCCUGAAGUGCAACUGACACUUACAACUUAAUGAGGCCACGGUCACGUGCACAAGUGCUUUUAACCAUUUGGCUGUCUACAGAAUUCACGGGAUUACUUGUGUAUUCAAUUAGACCAGACAAACACGUGAAGGUAUUCACGUGCUCAAGUAUUUGUGGCAUCAGGUACCAAGGCAGAGAUUAUGAGAGCUGGGUGGGGUUUUUUUGGUUUUGUUUUUUUGAAACUCUUAGGUGUGUUGUCCUUACCUCCUCCCUCCUUGAUUCCUAAACCUCUAUCAAGUGGGCAAAACCCAUUUUACAGUGGAAAUCCAGACUAGUGGCUGUCCAAAGAAAUGGAAGCUGUUUAAAAAUAUUUGAGUUAUUUAAAUAUUCAAUAUGCAAUAAUGAGAGACAAAUAUGGGAAUGUUUGUGAAACAGGCCAGAAAUAUGAAUACUCCUGGUUGUUUUCAAGAACGCCGGCUUUACUAUUCAGAACUUACCUUGCAUGUUACACAUUACUAUAAUUGAAGAAAAAAAAAAAAAGCUUAAAUUAAAAUAUUUUAAAGUAGCAUUCUAUUCUCUCCCAUAAUUCAUAGCGACAGCAGAAUGAAAAAACAGAGCGAGCUUUAGAGGUUAACUGUGAGUUUUAAAAAUCAGCAGUUCAAUUCAGUCACUAAAAUGCAACAUGAAGUGUUGAGGUUUCUCUUGCUUCAGGAAUGCAAAGUGAAAUGAAAUCAAAUUUUAAAGUAUCCAUACAUGCUGCUUUAGUCACAGGAAAUAGGAUAAGUGAGAGCCAGAUCGUUCUUCCUCUUUGAAGGUGCAAAUCAUCAGUUCCUUGCUAACAGUUGAGAAUUUUGCAAGGAUUACAACUUAAGUAUCUCAAAUUUUUGAAGUAUCAUACACCUGAAUGCAGCUGUGUCAUUAAAAUAACCUUUUAAUAGACUUACAUUCUCAAUUUUAGUUUAAUUGUUUUUAGAGGUAUCCUAAGGUAUGAGAGGUAUCCCAUAGUACAAGAUAUCUUUUUAAAUGUAACUUGUCUUGCCCCCUUUACUGUAUCUGUUAUUCAUUUCAAUAAGACUAGCUAUACAGAGCAAAAAGAAAAAAAAUUACAACUGAUUUAAAGAGGUAAAUAUUGGUUAGAGAAUCCUUUAAAAAAAUUUAAGGUCCCAGUAGACCUCUGUCAGUAAGAAAUUCCACAUUUAUCAUGGAGUAAUAAGCUUUUGGAAAAUUAUCCUUUCUUAAAAGAGUAUGUUUGAAUCUGUUCCAAUUUGAAGAAAGAAGAAGUCACAAUCUUUUUCAGCUCUGUUAAUCA
This is a long non-coding RNA of Dromaius novaehollandiae (emu), 4015 nucleotides long. RefSeq lists it as uncharacterized. NCBI's taxonomy places the organism in Eukaryota, Metazoa, Chordata, Aves, Casuariiformes, Dromaiidae. The record is from RefSeq and is a predicted model, not a curated record. The transcript has 3 exons.